GUUUUUAUAGUUGAAUUACAUCAGUGGUUUUUCAUAUCAUCGGUCUCAGUUUAAAUCUGGGUAAAAACU
This 69-nucleotide transfer RNA is filed under the name Saccopharynx lavenbergi. RNAcentral describes it as "tRNA-Glu". The record is from RNAcentral. Lineage: Eukaryota; Metazoa; Chordata; Actinopteri; Anguilliformes; Saccopharyngidae.